This 482-nucleotide long non-coding RNA is filed under the name Homo sapiens (human). RNAcentral describes it as "non-protein coding lnc-PDGFD-1:14". The record is from RNAcentral. Lineage: Eukaryota; Metazoa; Chordata; Mammalia; Primates; Hominidae.
AGACAUUGACAGCUCAAUGGAGCAUUGCUUUGCAGCCCCUGUAAUGGUAAUCAUAUGAAAGCAUUUGCCCCACCCCAGGGUGACCGUGGGAACCUGGAGAAGUUAAGAAAUGAAUGUAAUAGACUGAACUGCAAGCUGUGGCAGUCUGGGUCUGGAAGGAGAAGAAGCUGUAGAAGAUAUUUUCCUUCAGUAGCUUCUCCACAGCCAUGGUGGGAGAUGGCAGAAACAGCCAGCAUCACUUCUGGGAGGUGGACCACAGAAGAGAAAAAGAAACAACAGACCCAAUAGGGUCUCGCAUGGUUCUGAACACAUAGUAAAUGCUGAAUUACUAUUUCCUAAAUUAUCAUAAAGCUGAGAAGAAUCAUGAUUCUCAAACUUCACCUUGGAAUUAAAAUGGAUUUCCUUGAGAAGCACAUAUGAGGUAUAAAACAAAGCCAGGAGAAGCAUGAUAUUAAGAUAAACCCAUGAACACCCCUAAGUCC